Molecule: ribosomal RNA, 465 nt
Filed under: uncultured bacterium
Lineage: Bacteria
Description: partial 16S ribosomal RNA
Source: RNAcentral
GACUACUGGGGUAUCUAAUCCCGUUUGCUCCCCUAGCUUUCGCACCUCAGCGUCAGUUGUGGACCAGAGAGCCGCCUUCGCCACCGGUGUUCCUCCUGAUAUCUACGCAUUUCACCGCUCCACCAGGAGUUCCGCUCUCCCCUACCACACUCGAGCAUCGCAGUCUGCCAGGCAGUUCCACGGGUGAGCCGUGGGAUUUCACCAGACACUUACGAUGCCGCCUACGUGCUCUUUAAGCCCAGUAAUUCCGAACAACGUUUGCACUCUCUGUAUUACCGCGGCUGCUGGCACAGAGUUAGCCAGUGCUUCCUCUCGAGCUUACGUCAAAGUCUACCACUGUUCGUGGCAUACCCUUCUUAACUCGUGACAGGAGUUUACAACCCGAAGGCCUUCGUCCUCCACGCGGCGUCGCUCCGUCAGGCUUUCGCCCAUUGCGGAAGAUUCUCGACUGCAGCCACCCGUAGG